This is a non-coding RNA of Populus trichocarpa (black cottonwood), 144 nucleotides long. NCBI's taxonomy places the organism in Eukaryota, Viridiplantae, Streptophyta, Magnoliopsida, Malpighiales, Salicaceae. The record is from Rfam.
UAGUUUAUUUGGUUCAGAUCCUCAUCUAGUAGUGUCAGAUCUUCACUUGAAUACUCAUACAUUUUAGUUUCUAUAAGUCUGGCUGUAUCAUAGGUCCUCGUACACUUGACCUUUAAAGUCAAAUCAUAGCUUAGAAACUAAAAA